Gallus gallus (chicken) is the source of this 1997-nucleotide long non-coding RNA. Lineage: Eukaryota; Metazoa; Chordata; Aves; Galliformes; Phasianidae. The record is from Ensembl.
AUGGGGGGCUGUGGGGGGGAUAUGGAGUGAUAUGGGGGGCCAUGGGGGGCUAUGGGCUGCACUGAGCUGCACUGAGCUGCAUUGAGCUGCAAUGGUGCUGAGCGGCGCUGAGUUGCAUUGAGCUGCUAUGGGCUGCAAUGGACUGCACUGAGCUGCAUUGAGCUGUGAUGGGCUACAAUGAGCUGCUAUGGGCUGCAAUGGGAUGCAUUGAGCUGCAGUGGGAUGCAUUGAGCUGCAAUGGGAUGCACUGAGCUGCACUGAGCUGCAAUGGGCUGCAAUGAGCUGCGCUGCACUGAGCUGCAAUGGACUGCACGAUGCUGAGCUGCAUUGAGCUGCAAUGAAUGACACUGAGCUGCUGUGGGCUGCACUGAGCUGCAUUGCACUGAGCUGCCGUGGGCUGCAAUGGAUGCACUGAGCUGCAUUGCAUCGCACUGAGCCGCAAUGGGCUGCAAAGGGCUGCAUUGAGCUGCAGGGGGGUGCAAUGGGCUGCAUUGCACUGAGCUGCAUUGAGCUGCAUCACACCGAGCUGCAAAGUGCUGGGCUGCAAAGGGGCUGCAAUGGGCUGCAGUGGGAUGCAAUGGGAUGCAGUGGGCUGCAUUGAGCUGCUUUGGGCUGCUAUGGGAUGCACUGAGCUGCACGGAGUUGCAUUGAGCUGCAGUGGGCUGCAAGGGGCUGCAAUGGGCUGCUAUGGGCUGCAGUGAGAUGCAAUGGGCUCCUAUGGGCUGCAGUGAGAUGCAAUGGGCUGCAAUGAGCUGCAAUGGGCUGCAGUGGAGUGCAAUGAGCUGCAAGGGGCUGCAGUGGGCUGCAAUGAGCUGCAAGGGGCUGCUAUGGGAUGCAAUGGGCUGCAAUGGGCUGCAUGGUGCUGAGCUGCACUGAGCUGCAUUGAGCUGCAAUGAACUGCACUGAGCUGCACUGCUGCACUGCACUGAGCUGCACUGCACUGAGCUGCACUGCUGCACUGCACUGAGCUGCACUGCACUGAGCUGCAUGGCUCUGAGCUGCACUGAGCUGCACUGCUGCACUGCACUGAGCUGCACGGCGCUGCAUAGAGCUGCACUGCACGGCACUGCACGGCACUGCAUGGCAUGGAGCCGCUGCCCCACACGUGGGGUGCAGUUGUGGGGUGCAGUUGUGGGGCUCACAGUGAUGGGGUGCAGUUAUGGGGUGCAGUUGUGGGGCUCCCAUCUAUGGGCUGCAAUUAUGGGGCGCAGUUGUGGGGCUCACAGUGAUGGGGUGCAGUUGUGGGGCUCCCAUCUAUGGGCUGCAGUUGUGGGGUGCAGCGAUGGGGCGCAGUUGUGGGGCUCACAGCUAUGGGGUGCAGUUAUGGGGUGCAGCAAUGGGGCGCAGUUGUGGGGCUCCCAUCUAUGAGCUGCAGUUGUGGGGUGCAGUUGUGGGGCUCACAGUUGUGGGGUGCAGUUGUGGGGCUCACAGCUAUGGGGCACAGUUAUGGGGUGCAGUUAUGUGGCUCACAGUGAGGGGGUGCAGUUAUGGGGCGCAGUUGUGGGGCUCCCACCUAUGGGCUGCGGUUGUGGGGUACAGCAAUGGGGCGCAGUUGUGGGGCUCACAGCUAUGGGGCGCAGUGAUGGGGUGCAGUUAUGGGGGCGCAGUUGUGGGGCUCCCAUCUAUGAGCUGCAGUUGUGGGGCUGCAGUUAUGGGGCGCAGCUGUGGGGCUCACAGCUAUGGGCUGCGGUUGUGGGGUGCAGUUGGGGGGUGCAGUUAUGGGCUCACAGUGACGGGGUGCAGUUAUGGGGCGCAGUUGUGGGGCUCACAGCUAUGGGGCGCAGUUGUGGGGCUCCCACCUAUGGCUGCAGUUGUGGGGCGCGGCUGUGGGCCCCCCCGUCUGCGUUGCCGCCCCAUAGGCGCUCCCGGCCGUCCCAAGGUCACAUUGUGCGCCCCCCCCCCCCCCAAAAAGACCCCCCCCCGAUACCGUCAAUGGGUCCAAACGGGGGCUCAGAGCGCUGCGGGUCGGGCGGGUGGAGACCCCGCGGGGCUGAAAG